AUUGAACGCUGGCGGCGUGCUUAACACAUGCAAGUCGUGCGGUAACAGGCGUAGCAAUACGUGCUGACGAGCGGCGAACGGGUGCGUAAUACAUGGGAAUCUGCCCUUUAGUGGGGAAUAACCCGGCGAAAGCCGGACUAAUGCCGCAUAAGAUCUUCGGAUGAAAGCGGGGGAUCGUAAGACCUCGCGCUGAUGGAUGAGCCCAUGUCGGAUUAGCAGUUGGUGAGGUAACGGCUCACCAAGGCGACGAUCCGUAGCUGGUCUGAGAGGACGGCCAGCCACACUGGGACUGAGACACGGCCCAGACUCCUACGGGAGGCAGCAGUGGGGAAUAUUGGACAAUGGGCGAAAGCCUGAUCCAGCGACGCCGCGUGUGUGAAGAAGGCCUGCGGGUUGUAAAGCGCUUUUCGAUGGGAACGAAAUGUG
Molecule: ribosomal RNA, 426 nt
Filed under: uncultured bacterium
Lineage: Bacteria
Description: bacterial SSU rRNA
Rfam family: Bacterial small subunit ribosomal RNA
Source: RNAcentral